GUAUGAUUGAAACUACUGAUGGCUUUUCCUUGUAAUCCUUUGUGAUGAGCUUUUGUGUCAGACACAUCUUAUAAACACCCACAUAAGGUUUUCUGUGAAACAUUUAGGACGAUUCAGAGUUCUGUGAGUCCAUCUCAGGAUUGAUGAUAAUUACUUUUGUAACAAGAUCAUAAAAUAAAACACAAAAGUUAUAUCGGACAUUCCUAUAAUAAACGAUAGCACAUGUUGGACAAUAUUUUAUAGUAACUGAAACUAUUUUGAUACUAAAUAUAAUUUGAAAUUUCAUCUUGAGAUUCUGUGUAUCGUCAGUUUAUAGAUAAACAGAUUUUGCUCAGUUUACAUCCAAGGAACCUACUCUUGCAGAGCACACUACACUUAGUAACUGAAUUUCUAGCCAAAUACUUUUUUAUUAACAUUUUUCCCAAACUGUCUGCUACUCAGUAUUUAGUAGCAUUGCGAGUUCAAAUCGCCAACUAUUAUGUUGCACUAACACUAAAUCUUAAGGAAGAUAGUGUUUAUAUGAGUAGUUUGUAGUGGAAGUGAUCAAAGCGAUGUGUAACUAUAUCUGAGAGUAAUAUACCGCAAGUAACCCAUAAGUAAGUUUACAUUUGUUUUCAUUCUCAUCCAUUCAAAAAGCAAAUAAAGGUAUAUACUUAACUUG
This is a long non-coding RNA of Pomacea canaliculata, 661 nucleotides long. RefSeq lists it as uncharacterized. The transcript is spliced from 2 exons. The record is from RefSeq and is a predicted model, not a curated record. Lineage: Eukaryota; Metazoa; Mollusca; Gastropoda; Architaenioglossa; Ampullariidae.